Molecule: ribosomal RNA, 253 nt
Filed under: uncultured bacterium
Lineage: Bacteria
Description: partial 16S ribosomal RNA
Rfam family: Bacterial small subunit ribosomal RNA
Source: RNAcentral
UACAGAGGGUGCAAGCGUUAAUCGGAAUUACUGGGCGUAAAGCGUGCGCAGGCGGUUGUGCAAGACCGAUGUGAAAUCCCCGGGCUUAACCUGGGAAUUGCAUUUGUGACUGCACGGCUAGAGUGUGUCAGAGGGGGGUAGAAUUCCACGUGUAGCAGUGAAAUGCGUAGAUAUGUGGAGGAAUACCGAUGGCGAAGGCAGCCCCCUGGGAUAACACUGACGCUCAUGCACGAAAGCGUGGGGAGCAAACAGG